This 422-nucleotide ribosomal RNA is filed under the name uncultured bacterium. RNAcentral's name for it is "bacterial SSU rRNA". It matches the Rfam family "Bacterial small subunit ribosomal RNA", at positions 358 to 772 of the family's 1533-position model. The record is from RNAcentral.
GGAGUCUUCCGCAGUGGACGAAAGUCUGACGGAGCAACGCCGCGUGAACGAAGAAGGCCUUCGGGUCGUAAAGGUCUGUUGUUAGGGAAGAACAAGUACCAGAGUAACUGCUGGUACCUUGACGGUACCUAACCAGAAAGCCACGGCUAACUACGUGCCCGCAGCCGCGGGAAUACGUAGGUGGCAAGCGUUGUCCGGAAUGAUUGGGCGUAAAGCGCGCGCAGGUGGUUCCUUAAGUCUGAUGUGAAAGCCCACGGCUCAACCGUGGAGGGUCAUUGGAAACUGGGGAACUUGAGUGCAGAAGAGGAAAGUGGAAUUCCAAGUGUAGCGGUGAAAUGCGUAGAGAUUUGGAGGAACACCAGUGGCGAAGGCGACUUUCUGGUCUGUAACUGACACUGAGGCGCGAAAGCGUGGGGAGCAAA